UUUUUGAACUUUAAAAGUAAAUGAUACUUGUAAGGUUUUAAACAGAUCGACACACUGCAAAAGACCUUUCAGAUCAUGUUAACUCUUAAGUAAUCUUAUCUUCCCCCUCUCUCUCACAGAUCAAACUACUCCCACCUAUUUUAAUGAGUAAUUCAAAGCCAUCUGAAGGUUUAGUCCUAUGCACCAUCUCCUCUCCCCCUAACUGAUAAAGACCAAGAUGUGACUAAAAUUCGCCAGUGCCAGGAAGAGGGCAGAUAUCUGACUAUCGUGUCUGUUGAGCAACUCCAGUGUUGCAAUUUUUUUUAAGGAAGCUGAAAAAUGCCCUUUUCCUCUCCCCGUCCCCUGCACACUGGCUCGCUGCUACCACCGGGAAAACAGGGAAGGGAGCAGCCACUACCCUGCAAAAAGGAUUUGAGCACCAGCUGGAGAAGGGAUUGAAAACCAGCCCUAGAUCUGCCAAACCUGGGCGGGAGGGAAGAGAGGAAGGAGGCUUCAUUGUGUCACUUGUGAGCUCUCCCCCGGGGAGGGGUAGGGAAGGAGGGAGGGGGCCUCGGCCCCACUCCCCCGUUUGUCUCUAUAGCGCAGCGAGACACUGCUGCAGCCACUUCUCUCGUUCACACCGCCCUAGCUCCGCGCCCCGGCCCUCGGCAAAGCCCAAGCUCGGCUUUCCUGGAAAUGACUGGAUAAGUGCCAAGUCCAACUUCGAGUAAUAGGCUUACAGCCAUUCUCUGACACCUGCUCUGGCCACAACACUGUAAUUGUUUCCUGAGCCCGAAACAAGAGGAACAGAAUGCAAGAGACAACAGCACAUAAAGGAAACACCUAAAGGAAAACAUCAGUCUGCAGAAACAGGGCAUUGCUGGAAACAAGGGGUGAACUAAUUAAAGAGGAGAUUGAAACAAAGGUUUUCCCCUUCAAAGGUGCUCUGCAAGUGAUUUUUUUUAAUUGAACUUGUUCCCUUUUUUACUUAGAAAACUUUUUCCUUUAAUAAAGAUUGUUCUGCUCAUUAUCUUAAAUGCCAGGAAUAUCAACUCUGCUCGUCCCUAGUUUUGCUGUAAGAUCCACUUGAUAUCUCAAAGAAUGUACAUUGUUAACUCUUACACUCUAACUUAACGGAUGGAAGAUGGUGAAUCUUUACUGUUUUGGAGAAAGAAUAUUGUUAGUGAUUCAAGUUAAAAAGGUGUUAACGAUAACAAAAAAGAAUUAAACAGUCAUCAGACAUA
Long non-coding RNA from Caretta caretta (loggerhead turtle), 1223 nucleotides. RefSeq lists it as uncharacterized. NCBI's taxonomy places the organism in Eukaryota, Metazoa, Chordata, Testudines, Cheloniidae. The record is from RefSeq and is a predicted model, not a curated record.